CAAUAGCGUAUAUUAAAGUUGUUGCGGUUAAAAGCUCGUAGUUGGAUUUCUGCCGAGGACGACCGGUCCGCCCUCUGGGUGAGCAUCUGGAUCGGCCUGGGCAUCCUCUUGGGGAACGUAGCUGCACUUGACUGUGUGGUGCGGUAUCCAGGACUUUUACUUUGAGGAAAUUAGAGUGUUUCAAGCAGGCUUCCGCCUUGAAUACAUUAGCAUGGAAUAAUAAGAUAGGACCUCGGUUCUAUUUUGUUGGUUUCUAGAGCUGAGGUAAUGAUUGAUAGGGAUAGUUGGGGGUGGCUAGUAUUCGGCGGCCAGAGGUGAAAUUACUUUGAUCCGCUGAAGACUAACUUAUGCGAAAGACAUUCACCAAGGAUGUCUUCUUUAAUCAAGAACGAAAGUU
This 397-nucleotide ribosomal RNA is filed under the name uncultured eukaryote. Its description in RNAcentral is "bacterial SSU rRNA". It matches the Rfam family "Eukaryotic small subunit ribosomal RNA", at positions 592 to 991 of the family's 1831-position model. The record is from RNAcentral.